RNAcentral lists this ribosomal RNA (800 nucleotides) under uncultured bacterium. Its description in RNAcentral is "bacterial SSU rRNA". It matches the Rfam family "Bacterial small subunit ribosomal RNA", at positions 8 to 782 of the family's 1533-position model. The record is from RNAcentral.
AGAGUUUGAUCCUGGCUCAGAACGAACGCUGGCGGCGUGCCUAACACAUGCAAGUCGUACGAGAAAUCCUGGGCAACUGGGAGAGUAAAGUGGCGCACGGGUGAGUAACGCGUGGGUAACCUACCCUUGAAUUGGGGAUAACUCCUCGAAAGGGGAGUUAAUACCGAAUAAUAUUCCAAUUUCUCCGGGAGUUGGAAUCAAAGGUGGCCUCUACAUGUAAGCUAUCGUUUAAGGAUGGGCCCGCGUACCAUUAGCUAGUUGGUAGGGUAAUAGCCUACCAAGGCAACGAUGGUUAGCUGGUCUGAGAGGAUGGCCAGCCACACUGGAACUGAGACACGGUCCAGACUCCUACGGGAGGCAGCAGUGGGGAAUCUUGCGCAAUGGGGGAGACCUUGACGCAGCAACGCCGCGUGGAUGAUGAAGGCCUUCGGGUCGUAAAGCCCUGUCAGGUGGGAAGAAACUUGUAGAUGUUAAUACCAUCCGCAAUUGACGGUACCACCGGAGGAAGCACCGGCUAACUCCGUGCCAGCAGCCGCGGUAAUACGGAGGGUGCUAGCGUUGUUCGGAAUUAUUGGGCGUAAAGCGCGUGUAGGUGGUCAGGUAAGUCAGAUGUGAAAGCCUUCUGCUUAACAGAAGAAGUGCAUUUGAAACUGCUUGGCUAGAGUACGGGAGAGGAGAGUGGAAUUCCCGGUGUAGAGGUGAAAUUCGUAGAUAUCGGGAGGAACACCAGUGGCGAAGGCGGCUCUCUGGUCCGAUACUGACGCUGAGACGCGAAAGCGUGGGGAGCAAACAGGAUUAGA